AGCAAACAGGAUUAGAUACCCUGGUAGUCCACGCUGUAAACGAUGAGUACUAGGUGUCGGGGGUUACCCCCUUCGGUGCCGCAGCUAACGCAUUAAGUACUCCGCCUGGGAAGUACGCUCGCAAGAGGGAAACUCAAAGGAAUUGACGGGGACCCGCACAAGUAGCGGAGCAUGUGGUUUAAUUCGAAGCAACGCGAAGAACCUUACCUAAGCUUGACAUCCCAAUGACAUCUCCUUAAUCGGAGA
This 246-nucleotide ribosomal RNA is filed under the name Clostridioides difficile. Its description in RNAcentral is "partial 16S ribosomal RNA". It matches the Rfam family "Bacterial small subunit ribosomal RNA", at positions 767 to 1012 of the family's 1533-position model. Lineage: Bacteria; Bacillati; Bacillota; Clostridia; Peptostreptococcales; Peptostreptococcaceae. The record is from RNAcentral.